Long non-coding RNA from Oryzias melastigma (Indian medaka), 1609 nucleotides. RefSeq lists it as uncharacterized. The record is from RefSeq and is a predicted model, not a curated record. Lineage: Eukaryota; Metazoa; Chordata; Actinopteri; Beloniformes; Adrianichthyidae. The transcript is spliced from 2 exons.
AGGUAUCUUCAGCAGCCAAAUUCAGCUUACAGCAUUCACACUAACAUCAUCUCAGUGUGUCGUGGCGUGCGAGUGUGACAAACGCCAGGUGGAUGGCAUAGGAGUACAGGGUGACCACAAAGAGCAGCACCGCCAGCUUCAGCAGGGAGUUCAGCCGCAGAAAAACAGCACAGGUCACCAUGGCAACCACACCGCUCAGCACGAAGAUCUGAAUUUGACAGACAUUACUUAUUUAUGCAAUAACAGGCUGAGGUCACGCAGGAGCAAAAAGGAAAUGAUAUCAACCGGCAGAGGAGAUUGGGCGCCCGUUUUACCUCGGGGUAGGUGCAGAUGGUGAAAGGAGUCGAGCCUAUUUUCAUCUUCUCCAUCAUGUCAGUCUCAUCUGUCAUUGAGAGAAGACACCAGACCUGCGCACAGAACAUGAUUUGCAAAUAAGAAGCCACCAUUUCUAGUAUAAACACUCUUCAUGUUUUAGUGUAUUUGUAGUAGUAGUUGGUUUUCUAAAACAUUUAAACCGAAAGGCAAAAGGAUUCCUAUUCAGAUAUAGAGAGUAGUAAGGGGAAAUUAAUAAGUGUGUCUGCUUUGCUGCUUUAGUUACACAACUUUAUUUAUUAAAACCCCCUCAAAAGAUUGAACUAUAGUUGUAAAAAAAUGGAAAAUUUCGACAGCUAUAGUAGGAAGCAGUGAAUGCAAUUUAUUUAUUACGCAGAGAAAUUAAUCUGUGGGAGUUUUUUUUUUAAAUUGAACUACUUUAGCGAAGACGGAUUUGGGGUAAAACAGUGUGAAUUUGGAGUCUUGUUUGUUGUAUUAGAUUUUAAACAGUUAAGUGUAGAUCUGUAUGUAUUGCAUUUGUGGAAUAAACAAUUUAUUUUAUAUCAUUGUACAUCUGCUUCAGUCUGAAAAUCAACACAAAUAAUUUCAUAGUUUUGUGGUAAUAAAUUAUUAGAUCAUGUGAUUUAAAUUUAAGGAACCUUUAAGCACCAUGAUGGCAAAAAUCAAAGAAGACAUUCUUUGCCACAUGGUGGCACCAUAAGCUAGUUUUAUGGCAUUUUGUUUUUCCACAAGCAAUGCAAAAUUAUAGCAUUAUAAAGUUUAAUUGUUAAAGUGCAACAUAUGCAGCAAAAAGUUGCAAAUUUCCAGAGUAAAAAUUCACAUUUACGCAGAUAAAAUUGGUGAAUAUGGCUAAAACCAGGGGCGGAGCUACAGGGAGGCAAGGCGGUAUUUUCUUGUCAGGUUAUCUAUUUAUAUACUUUUAUAUAGCACUAAGCACUUAUAUGAUUCUUUCCUAGUUUCCUACUUUUCUUUUAUUACUUGUGUUUGCAGCUUCGUCUGAUUGUCUGUGCAGAUCUGAAACCGAUUUGAUUUCACGUUCUCACCAUGUCUGAAGAGGCCAGGGCAAAGUUGAUGAGGAUGGCAGUGAGAGUGAGGAGGUUGCGAGCGCUGUUGUUUUCGUGGAACCAGCAGCAGAUGUUCUGCAGCACCGCAGGCGUCCUCUUGAACUCCUCAGCGAGAGAAACCAGCAGCAGCAUCAUGUACGCAAGCAGGAAAACAGAAAACUGGAGGACAGCCGGAAACUGCCUGAAAUAUAGGGGAAAACAAAAGAAGAAAA